RNAcentral lists this ribosomal RNA (738 nucleotides) under Pseudoxanthomonas mexicana. RNAcentral's name for it is "bacterial SSU rRNA". It matches the Rfam family "Bacterial small subunit ribosomal RNA", at positions 20 to 747 of the family's 1533-position model. Lineage: Bacteria; Pseudomonadati; Pseudomonadota; Gammaproteobacteria; Lysobacterales; Lysobacteraceae. The record is from RNAcentral.
CCGCUCAGAGUGAACGCUGGCGGUAGGCCUAACACAUGCAAGUCGAACGGCAGCACAGGAGAGCUUGCUCUCUGGGUGGCGAGUGGCGGACGGGUGAGGAAUACAUCGGAAUCUACCUUUUCGUGGGGGAUAACGUAGGGAAACUUACGCUAAUACCGCAUACGACCUACGGGUGAAAGUGGGGGACCGCAAGGCCUCACGCGAUUAGAUGAGCCGAUGUCCGAUUAGCUAGUUGGCGGGGUAAUGGCCCACCAAGGCGACGAUCGGUAGCUGGUCUGAGAGGAUGAUCAGCCACACUGGAACUGAGACACGGUCCAGACUCCUACGGGAGGCAGCAGUGGGGAAUAUUGGACAAUGGGCGCAAGCCUGAUCCAGCCAUACCGCGUGGGUGAAGAAGGCCUUCGGGUUGUAAAGCCCUUUUGUUGGGAAAGAAAUCCUAUCGGUUAAUAACCGGUGGGGAUGACGGUACCCAAAGAAUAAGCACCGGCUAACUUCGUGCCAGCAGCCGCGGUAAUACGAAGGGUGCAAGCGUUACUCGGAAUUACUGGGCGUAAAGCGUGCGUAGGUGGUGGUUUAAGUCUGCUGUGAAAGCCCUGGGCUCAACCUGGGAAUUGCAGUGGAUACUGGAUCACUAGAGUGUGGUAGAGGGAUGCGGAAUUUCUGGUGUAGCAGUGAAAUGCGUAGAGAUCAGAAGGAACAUCCGUGGCGAAGGCGGCAUCCCUGGGCCAACACUACACU